AAUAUUGGACAAUGGGGGCAACCCUGAUCCAGCCAUGCCGCGUGUGUGAAGAAGGCCUUCGGGUUGUAAAGCACUUUUGUUGGGGAAGAAAAGCACUGGGUUAAUACCCUGGUGUCAUGACGGUACCCAAAGAAUAAGCACCGGCUAACUACGUGCCAGCAGCCGCGGUAAAACGUAGGACGCGAACGUUAUCCGGAAUUACUGGGCGUAAAGGGCGCGCAGGCGGUCGGGUAAGUUAGGCAUGAAAGCUCCCUGGCUAAACCGGGAGAGGCUGUCUGAUACUGCCGGACUGGAGUGUGGUAGAGGGGUGUAGAAUUCUGCGUGUAGUGGUGAAAUGCGUAGAUAUGCGGAGGAAUACCAGUGGCGAAGGCGGCACCCUGGACCACAACUGACGCUGAGGCGCGAAAGCAUGGGUAGCGA
Molecule: ribosomal RNA, 420 nt
Filed under: uncultured bacterium
Lineage: Bacteria
Description: bacterial SSU rRNA
Rfam family: Bacterial small subunit ribosomal RNA
Source: RNAcentral